GUGACCUCAAAUCAGGUAGGACUACCCGCUGAACUUAAGCAUAUCAAUAAGCGGAGGAAAAGAAACUAACAAGGAUUCCCCUAGUAACUGCGAGUGAAGCGGGAAAAGCUCAAAUUUAAAAUCUGACAGUCUUUGGCUGUCCGAGUUGUAAUCUAAAGAAGUGUUAUCCGCGCUGGACCG
Molecule: ribosomal RNA, 180 nt
Filed under: Dermocybe semisanguinea
Lineage: Eukaryota; Fungi; Basidiomycota; Agaricomycetes; Agaricales; Cortinariaceae
Description: partial 28S ribosomal RNA
Rfam family: Eukaryotic large subunit ribosomal RNA
Source: RNAcentral